UAGGGGAUCUUCGGCAAUGGACGAAAGUCUGACCGAGCAACGCCGCGUGAGUGAAGAAGGUUUUCGGAUCGUAAAACUCUGUUGUUAGAGAAGAACAAGGACGUUAGUAACUGAACGUCCCCUGACGGUAUCUAACCAGAAAGCCACGGCUAACUACGUGCCAGCAGCCGCGGUAAUACGUAGGUGGCAAGCGUUGUCCGGAUUUAUUGGGCGUAAAGCGAGCGCAGGCGGUUUCUUAAGUCUGAUGUGAAAGCCCCCGGCUCAACCGGGGAGGGUCAUUGGAAACUGGGAGACUUGAGUGCAGAAGAGGAGAGUGGAAUUCCAUGUGUAGCGGUGAAAUGCGUAGAUAUAUGGAGGAACACCAGUGGCGAAGGCGGCUCUCUGGUCUGUAACUGACGCUGAGGCUCGAAAGCGUGGGGAGCAAACAGG
Molecule: ribosomal RNA, 429 nt
Filed under: Gemmatimonadota bacterium
Lineage: Bacteria; Pseudomonadati; Gemmatimonadota
Description: Gemmatimonadetes bacterium partial 16S ribosomal RNA
Rfam family: Bacterial small subunit ribosomal RNA
Source: RNAcentral